GGGGAACAUAAGUUUUAUGAUUACAUGGCAGAAAUAAGAGACAUGGAAAACUUCAACAAACCCUCACAUGAGAAAUCAAGGUUGAAAUUUGAGAUGCAGAUGUCAACACUCUUAUCAUUGUAAAAUGCUCGUGAUACUCCAUCUCUUUCUUGUUCUUCUCAUAGUGAAUCUUUGUUUUCAACCUAACAAUCUUGUUCUUUCCAC
This 204-nucleotide long non-coding RNA is filed under the name Solanum tuberosum (potato). RNAcentral describes it as "long non-coding RNA (STUB_LNC008372)". Lineage: Eukaryota; Viridiplantae; Streptophyta; Magnoliopsida; Solanales; Solanaceae. The record is from RNAcentral.